This 254-nucleotide ribosomal RNA is filed under the name uncultured bacterium. Its description in RNAcentral is "partial 16S ribosomal RNA". It matches the Rfam family "Bacterial small subunit ribosomal RNA", at positions 524 to 777 of the family's 1533-position model. The record is from RNAcentral.
UACGUAGGGGGCAAGCGUUGUCCGGAAUCAUUGGGCGUAAAGCGCGUGUAGGCGGCCCGAUAAGUCCGCUGUGAAAGUCGGGGGCUCAACCCUCGGAUGCCGGUGGAUACUGUCGGGCUCGAGUGCGGAAGAGGCGAGUGGAAUUCCUGGUGUAGCGGUGAAAUGCGCAGAUAUCGGGAGGAACACCAAUUGCGAAGGCAGCUCGCUGGGACGUUACUGACGCUGAGACGCGAAAGCGUGGGGAGCAAACAGGG